This 500-nucleotide ribosomal RNA is filed under the name uncultured Chryseobacterium sp. RNAcentral's name for it is "bacterial SSU rRNA". It matches the Rfam family "Bacterial small subunit ribosomal RNA", at positions 7 to 507 of the family's 1533-position model. The record is from RNAcentral. Lineage: Bacteria; Pseudomonadati; Bacteroidota; Flavobacteriia; Flavobacteriales; Weeksellaceae.
GAGAGUUUGAUCCUGGCUCAGGAUGAACGCUAGCGGGAGGCCUAACACAUGCAAGCCGAGCGGUAUUUGUCUUUCGGGACAGAGAGAGCGGCGUACGGGUGCGGAACACGUGUGCAACCUGCCUUUAUCUGGGGGAUAGCCUUUCGAAAGGAAGAUUAAUACCCCAUAAUAUAAUUGAUGGCAUCAUUGAUUAUUGAAAACUCCGGUGGAUAGAGAUGGGCACGCGCAAGAUUAGAUAGUUGGUGAGGUAACGGCUCACCAAGUCGAUGAUCUUUAGGGGGCCUGAGAGGGUGAUCCCCCACACUGGUACUGAGACACGGACCAGACUCCUACGGGAGGCAGCAGUGAGGAAUAUUGGACAAUGGGUUAGCGCCUGAUCCAGCCAUCCCGCGUGAAGGAUGACGGCCCUAUGGGUUGUAAACUUCUUUUGUACAGGGAUAAACCUACUCUCGUGAGAGUAGCUGAAGGUACUGUACGAAUAAGCACCGGCUAACUCCGUG